Rattus norvegicus (Norway rat) is the source of this 414-nucleotide long non-coding RNA. RefSeq lists it as uncharacterized. NCBI's taxonomy places the organism in Eukaryota, Metazoa, Chordata, Mammalia, Rodentia, Muridae. The record is from RefSeq and is a predicted model, not a curated record.
GCCACAGACUGGUUGGGUGACAUGUGGCAAAACCCUUCUGUCUAAUUGGGGGAAAUCACUGGAAUCUCUUCGUGGGCGGUAGGUGCCAAGUCCUGCACCAGUGUAGAGGAGCUGCUGGGAAGGCACUAGGUGCUGGCGGGGACAGAAGACGGAAGGUGCUUCCUCCUGGAGUGACCAGAUGAGAGGCAGUGACUAGCUGGAACCCCAUUGCUCUGCAUGUGAAAAGUGAAGAGCUAACAGCUCAGGGGACUAUGUGGGGGAUCCGGGCUUCAAGGAGGUCAUUCAGGAAGAAGACCAUGAAAGUUGGAUAUCUGCAAGUCAAGGAUUGAACCUUCUGGAGACACCAGCCCUGUGGACACCUUGAACUUUGACUUCUAGUCUCUAAAGAUGUAAUAAAGAAAUUUUCUGUUGCUU